RNAcentral lists this ribosomal RNA (325 nucleotides) under uncultured eukaryote. Its description in RNAcentral is "partial 18S ribosomal RNA". It matches the Rfam family "Eukaryotic small subunit ribosomal RNA", at positions 1470 to 1796 of the family's 1831-position model. The record is from RNAcentral.
CCCUUAGAUGUUCUGGGCCGCACGCGCGCUACACUGAUGCAUUCAACGAGCCUAUCCUUGACCGACAGGUCCGGGUAAUCUUUGAAUCUGCAUCGUGACGGGGAUAGAUUAUUGCAAUUAUUAAUCUUCAACGAGGAAUGCCUAGUAGGCGCAAGUCAUCAGCUUGCGUCGAUUACGUCCCUGCCCUUUGUACACACAGCCCGUCGCUCCUACCGAUUGGGUGUGCUGGUGAAAUGUUCGGAUCGGCCGUUUGUCGCGGUUUCCGCGUCAUGUGGCUGAGAAGUUCAUUAAACCCUCCCACCUAGAGGAAGGAGAAGUCGUAACA